AGGUCCGUAGCUCAAUUGGUAGAGCACCGGUCUCCAAAACCGGCGGUUCAGGGUUCGAGUCCCUGCGGGCCUG
This 73-nucleotide transfer RNA is filed under the name bacterium. RNAcentral describes it as "tRNA-Trp". It matches the Rfam family "tRNA". Rfam says of the family: Transfer RNA (tRNA) molecules are approximately 80 nucleotides in length. Their secondary structure includes four short double-helical elements and three loops (D, anti-codon, and T loops). Further hydrogen bonds mediate the characteristic L-shaped molecular structure. tRNAs have two regions of fundamental functional importance: the anti-codon, which is responsible for specific mRNA codon recognition, and the 3' end, to which the tRNAs corresponding amino acid is attached (by aminoacyl-tRNA synthetases). tRNAs cope with the degeneracy of the genetic code in two manners: having more than one tRNA (with a specific anti-codon) for a particular amino acid; and 'wobble' base-pairing, i.e. permitting non-standard base-pairing at the 3rd anti-codon position. RNAcentral also lists the same sequence under 3 other names. The record is from RNAcentral.